Molecule: long non-coding RNA, 1004 nt
Organism: Bos taurus (domestic cattle)
Lineage: Eukaryota; Metazoa; Chordata; Mammalia; Artiodactyla; Bovidae
Source: Ensembl
CCUGUAAGGUUAGUGGGCAGUUUAAUACAGAUUCAUGGCGCUUAUCUGAAUCCCUUGGGACCAGAUGUACUUCAGAAUUCAGAAUUUUCUGGAUUCUAGAGAAACACCACAGUGUAUAUUCUAUGCACCAUCUUGUACCUCCAGAAGAUUCCAGGGCAGACCCACAAUCCAACUCAUUACGAUUUCCUCAGUAAAACACAUGAAGAUUGACAGUAAGUGAGACAAUUCAAGACCACAAACAGCCUCGUGGCAGCUCAGGUCAGGUUUUGCCACUAGAUACAUUUUGGAGCUAGAAGUAUGUUUAAAAAAGAAAAAAACAACUUUCAGAGGCCAGAAUUUUUGUAGCUCAGAUUUUUCGAGAAAGAACCAUGGUCUGUAGUCUUUUUGCUGCUUUGUGAGGGAAACUGGCUUAGUGGGACAAAAGGAGGGAAGGCAGGGUAAGGAUGAAGUCAGCAGCUUGGGAGGAAAAUCCAUCUGUGUUUGGAUCCUGGCUUCACCAACUGCAAGCUGGGUGUCCCUGGGCCAGUAGCUUGCCCUUUCUGGGCCUCAUCUCUGAAGAGUACAGAGCUGUGGAGAAGACUGCAGAGAAUGGAGCAUACAAAACUCUCAGCAUAUACCCAGCUGGCACUGAAUAGAGAGAACCGACUGGUCUCGGACGCAAUGAGAACAAAAAAAAAGAACAUAACAAGGAGGAUCCCAAGAGAAGAGGUUUUCAAGCAGAUGCUGAGACUGCCUAAUGAUGGUUUAACUAGUAUCCAAGCCUUCCAGCAAGGAAGAGGGAAAGGAGACUGCAUUAGGAUGGCUAGUUUUACUUGUCCUCCUGGGAGCUCGGAUAUUCAAGUGAAGUAUUUAUUUUAAAAGUUGCUGUCUAUUUAUGGCAAAUGAGAAAGGAUGUGUCACGUGGACACUAUUCUUCCUCCUGCUGCACGAGGGGCCUCGGUGUAGACGUGCAGCACAAGCGUGCCUGUGUGAGUGCCCUGGGCCCCAGUGUAUCUGAACAAAGG